CCUACGGGUGGCAGCAGUGAGGAAUAUUGGUCAAUGGGCUUACGCCUGAACCAGCCAAGUCGCGUGAGGGAAGACUGCCCUAUGGGUUGUAAACCUCUUUUGUCAGGGAGCAACGCCGGCUACGUGUAGCCGGACUGAGAGUACCUGAAGAAAAAGCAUCGGCUAACUCCGUGCCAGCAGCCGCGGUAAUACGGAGGAUGCGAGCGUUAUCCGGAUUUAUUGGGUUUAAAGGGUGCGUAGGCGGAAUGCCAAGUCAGCGGUAAAAUCGCGGGGCUCAACCUCGCUCCGCCGUUGAAACUGGCGUUCUUGAGUGGGCGAGAAGUAUGCGGAAUGCGUGGUGUAGCGGUGAAAUGCAUAGAUAUCACGCAGAACACCGAUUGCGAAGGCAUCUCACGAAUCCGCGAUUGACGCUGAUGCACGAAAGCGUGGGUAUCAAACAGGAUUAGAUACCCUUGUAGUC
This 460-nucleotide ribosomal RNA is filed under the name uncultured bacterium. RNAcentral's name for it is "partial 16S ribosomal RNA". It matches the Rfam family "Bacterial small subunit ribosomal RNA", at positions 338 to 795 of the family's 1533-position model. The record is from RNAcentral.